RNAcentral lists this ribosomal RNA (253 nucleotides) under uncultured bacterium. RNAcentral's name for it is "partial 16S ribosomal RNA". It matches the Rfam family "Bacterial small subunit ribosomal RNA", at positions 524 to 776 of the family's 1533-position model. The record is from RNAcentral.
UACGUAGGGUGCGAGCGUUAAUCGGAAUUACUGGGCGUAAAGCGUGCGCAGGCGGUUUUGUAAGCCAGAUGUGAAAUCCCCGGGCUCAACCUGGGAAUGGCAUUUGGGACUGCAAGGCUUGAGUGCGGCAGAGGAGACUGGAAUUCCUGGUGUAGCAGUGAAAUGCGCAGAUAUCAGGAAGAACACCCGUGGCUAAGGCGGCUCUCUAGUACGGUACUGACGCUGAGACGCGAAAGCGUGGGGAGCGAACAGG